RNAcentral lists this ribosomal RNA (483 nucleotides) under uncultured bacterium. RNAcentral's name for it is "partial 16S ribosomal RNA". It matches the Rfam family "Bacterial small subunit ribosomal RNA", at positions 28 to 523 of the family's 1533-position model. The record is from RNAcentral.
GAUGAACGCUGGCGGCGUGCUUAACACAUGCAAGUCGAACGGUGAAGCCCAGCUUGCUGGGUGGAUCAGUGGCGAACGGGAGAGUAACACGUGAGCAACCUGCCCUGGACUCUGGGAUAAGCGCUGGCAACGGCGACUAAUACUGGAUAUGAGACGUGGCCGCAUGGUCAACGUUUGGAAAGAUUUUUCGGUCUGGGAUGGGCUCGCGGCCUAUCAGCUUGUUGGUGAGGUAAUGGCUCACCAAGGCGGCGACGGGUAGCCGGCCUGAGAGGGUGGACGGCCACACUGGGACUGAGAGACGGCCCAGACUGCUACGGGAGGCAGCAGGGGGGAAUAUUGCACAAUGGGCGGAAGCCUGAUGGAGCAACGCCGCGUGAGGGAUGACGGCAUUCGGGUUGUAAACCUCUUUUAGCAAGGAAGAAGCUUUUGUGACGGUACUUGCAGAAAAAGCGCCGGCUAACUACGUGCCAGCAGCCGCAGUAA